CAGAGAAUAGUUUAAUGGAAAAUGCCAGCUUUGGGAGUUGGAGAUAAAGGUUUGAGUCCUUUUUUUCUGA
Molecule: transfer RNA, 70 nt
Filed under: Oreotrochilus melanogaster
Lineage: Eukaryota; Metazoa; Chordata; Aves; Apodiformes; Trochilidae
Description: tRNA-Pro
Rfam family: tRNA
About the family: Transfer RNA (tRNA) molecules are approximately 80 nucleotides in length. Their secondary structure includes four short double-helical elements and three loops (D, anti-codon, and T loops).
Source: RNAcentral